GAUGAAGAACGUAGCGAAAUGCGAUAAGUAAUGUGAAUUGCAGAAUUCAGUGAAUCAUCGAAUCUUUGAACGCACAUUGCGCCCGCCAGCACUCUGGCGGGCAUGCCUGUCCGAGCGUCAUUUCAACCCUCGCGCCGUCCCUCCAGGGGGCUCGGCGCGGUGUUGGGGGACACGGCCCCGGCCGCCCCCGAAAUGCAGUGGCGACCCCGCCGCGGCCCCUCCAGCGCAGUAAGCACGCUCGCUACGGGAGGCCCGGUGGACGCGUCCGCCGUAAACCGCCCAACUCUUCAGAAGUUGACCUCGGAUCAGGUAGGGAUACCCGCUGAACUUAAGCAUAUCAAUAAGCGGAGGA
This 352-nucleotide unclassified non-coding RNA is filed under the name soil metagenome. Its description in RNAcentral is "partial contains 5.8S ribosomal RNA, internal transcribed spacer 2, and large subunit ribosomal RNA". The stretch from base 1 to 120 matches the Rfam family "5.8S ribosomal RNA", at positions 35 to 154 of the family's 154-position model. The record is from RNAcentral.